This 484-nucleotide ribosomal RNA is filed under the name uncultured Saprospiraceae bacterium. RNAcentral describes it as "bacterial SSU rRNA". It matches the Rfam family "Bacterial small subunit ribosomal RNA", at positions 28 to 505 of the family's 1533-position model. The record is from RNAcentral. Lineage: Bacteria; Pseudomonadati; Bacteroidota; Saprospiria; Saprospirales; Saprospiraceae.
GAUGAACGCUAGCGGGAGGCUUAAUACAUGCAAGUCGAGGGGUAACAUGGAUGCUUGCAUCUGAUGACGACCGGCGCACGGGUGAGUAACGCGUACACAACCUACCUUUAAGAGGGGGAUAGCCUUGGGAAACUGAGAUUAAUACCCCAUGUGAUUACAAUUUAUUAUGAUGUUGUAAUUAAAGACUUCGGUUGCUUAGAGAUGGGUGUGCGUACCAUUAGGUAGUUGGUAAGGUAACGGCUUACCAAGCCGACGAUGGUUAGGGGGCGUGAGAGCGUGACCCCCCACACGGGUACUGAGACACGGACCCGACUCCUACGGGAGGCAGCAGUAAGGAAUAUUGGACAAUGGGGGCAACCCUGAUCCAGCCAUCCCGCGUGCAGGACGACGGCCCUCUGGGUUGUAAACUGCUUUUGUUAGGGAAGAAACGCCUGGAUUUAUCCGGGUCUGACGGUACCUAAAGAAUAAGCACCGGCUAACUCCG